GUACAACAUAAUUCAAAAUGAGACACAGAUGAUAAUAAAAAAGUGUUUUGAAAUUAAAAUGAAUAAUGGGCUGUUCGUGAACACAGAAAAUCGAGAGAUGUUGUGACAACCUGGACAGAAGUCAGCUCCAAAUCCAUUCUCAACACCAGACUUCUCAUUCACAAGGAUUCCUCUCUUAAAAACCAAUAAUUUUCAGAAAUCACUUUUUUUUUAUUGCGCCUUCCAAGUAAAAUCAAUCAAACUGCAGUAGGGUUGUAUUGAUUAAGAUUAAGAUUAUUCAGAUGACAAUGUAGAUGCCAGAAAAAGGUUGAUGUUGUUGUGAUCAUAGAUUGUAUGUGAUUACAGGCAAUACA
This is a long non-coding RNA of Cyprinus carpio carpio, 353 nucleotides long. NCBI's taxonomy places the organism in Eukaryota, Metazoa, Chordata, Actinopteri, Cypriniformes, Cyprinidae. The record is from Ensembl.